UCCUACGGGAGGCAGCAGUAAGGAAUAUUGGUCAAUGGAGGCAACUCUGAACCAGCCAUGCCGCGUGAAGGAUGAAGGCCCUAUGGGUUGUAAACUUCUUUUAUACGGGAAGAAACCUCCGCACGUGUGCGGAGCUGACGGUACUGUAAGAAUAAGGAUCGGCUAACUCCGUGCCAGCAGCCGCGGUAAUA
RNAcentral lists this ribosomal RNA (191 nucleotides) under uncultured bacterium. RNAcentral's name for it is "partial 16S ribosomal RNA". It matches the Rfam family "Bacterial small subunit ribosomal RNA", at positions 337 to 525 of the family's 1533-position model. The record is from RNAcentral.